Molecule: unclassified non-coding RNA, 148 nt
Filed under: soil metagenome
Description: partial internal transcribed spacer 1
Source: RNAcentral
CCGAGUUUACAACUCCCAAACCCCUGUGAACAUACCACUUGUUGCCUCGGCGGAUCAGCCCGCUCCCGGUAAAAGCGGGACGGCCCGCCAGAGGACCCCUAAACUCUGUUUCUAUAUGUAACUUCUGAGUAAAACCAUAAAUAAAUCA